RNAcentral lists this transfer RNA (72 nucleotides) under Cavia porcellus (domestic guinea pig). It matches the Rfam family "tRNA". Rfam says of the family: Transfer RNA (tRNA) molecules are approximately 80 nucleotides in length. Their secondary structure includes four short double-helical elements and three loops (D, anti-codon, and T loops). The record is from Rfam by way of RNAcentral. Lineage: Eukaryota; Metazoa; Chordata; Mammalia; Rodentia; Caviidae.
GGGGAUGUGGCUCAGUGGUAGAACUUUUGCCUUGCAUGCAUAAAGCCCUGGGUUUGGUCCCCAGCACCACAA